This 465-nucleotide ribosomal RNA is filed under the name uncultured bacterium. Its description in RNAcentral is "partial 16S ribosomal RNA". It matches the Rfam family "Bacterial small subunit ribosomal RNA", at positions 338 to 795 of the family's 1533-position model. The record is from RNAcentral.
CCUACGGGUGGCAGCAGUGGGGAAUAUUGCGCAAUGGGCGAAAGCCUGACGCAGCGACGCCGCGUGAGGGAUGAAGGUCUUCGGAUCGUAAACCUCUGUCAGCAGGGAAGAACGGUCACUGUGCUAAUCAGCAGUGAAUUGACGGUACCUGCAAAGGAAGCACCGGCUAACUCCGUGCCAGCAGCCGCGGUAAUACGGAGGGUGCGAGCGUUAAUCGGAAUUACUGGGCGUAAAGCGCUCGUAGGCGGUAUGUCAAGUCAAGAGUGAAAUCCCCGCGCUCAACGUGGGAACUGCCUUUGAAACUGGCAAACUGGAGUGUGGGAGAGGAUAGUGGAAUUCCAGGUGUAGGAGUGAAAUGCGUAGAUAUCUGGAGGAACAUCAGUGGCGAAGGCGACUAUCUGGCACAUAACUGACGCUGAGGAGCGAAAGCGUGGGUAGCAAACAGGAUUAGAUACCCGGGUAGUC